Molecule: non-coding RNA, 438 nt
Organism: Drosophila melanogaster (fruit fly)
Lineage: Eukaryota; Metazoa; Arthropoda; Insecta; Diptera; Drosophilidae
Source: Ensembl
AAAUUAUGACGUGGUAGUAAUAGUAAUAGUAUGUGUGUCGGUGUGGGGCGGUGUGUAUGUCGGUGUGUGUCGGUGUGUGUCAAGCUGGUUCCAGAAGCCAUGGGGGCAUCCCAUCUUCGUUCCGGAUGCAGUGCAUCAUGGACCUGACCAGAUUUUUGGAAUUGAAACUGAAUCUGCCACCUGGUAACUGAUUGCUACUAGUUCGCAAGCCUUCAUUGCAUCAAUUGGAAGACGAUCUCGAGCAUUGAGGAACUAACUGUCUGCUUGAGUGCUUUUCCAUUGAAAUUCCCUUUUGAUUUUCACUUAAUUCCAUUUGCAAACUGGUUUGUGGCGCCCGAGCAGGUACAACAAUGGAUAUGACAACAAUUAGUUGAUGCCACAUGUCGCCUGGCUCUUUGUUCGCCGCCUUUUUGCAAAAUAUAUACAUACAUAUAUCGC